Molecule: ribosomal RNA, 308 nt
Filed under: Draconarius subtitanus
Lineage: Eukaryota; Metazoa; Arthropoda; Arachnida; Araneae; Agelenidae
Description: partial 12S ribosomal RNA
Source: RNAcentral
AAACUAAUUUGAUUUGGCGGCAUUUCAUCUAUUUAGAGGAAUUUGUCAUUUAAUCGAUAAUCCACGUUAAAUUUCACUUAAAUCUCAAAAUUUAUAUACCGCCAUCUUAAGAAUUAAUUUAAAAAUAUUUCUCUAAAAAAAUAAUAAAAAGUUAGGUCAAGGUGUAAUUUACAUUAAAGAAUAAGAUGAAUUACAUUAAAAAUUAUUUAAAGAUUAUAAAUAAAUAUAAAUAUAUAAAUAAGAAUUUAAAAGUAAUAUUAAAAUAAUAAUAUAAUAUGAUAUAGAUAAUAAAUGUGUACACAUCGCCC